RNAcentral lists this ribosomal RNA (1107 nucleotides) under Salmonella enterica. RNAcentral describes it as "partial 23S ribosomal RNA". It matches the Rfam family "Bacterial large subunit ribosomal RNA", at positions 582 to 1606 of the family's 2925-position model. Lineage: Bacteria; Pseudomonadati; Pseudomonadota; Gammaproteobacteria; Enterobacterales; Enterobacteriaceae. The record is from RNAcentral.
CCCUUCGGGGUGUGACUGCGUACCUUUUGUAUAAUGGGUCAGCGACUUAUAUUCUGUAGCAAGGUUAACCGUAUAGGGGAGCCGGAGGGAAACCGAGUCUUAAUUGGGCGUUAAGUUGCAGGGUAUAGACCCGAAACCCGGUGAUCUAGCCAUGGGCAGGUUGAAGGUUGGGUAACACUAACUGGAGGACCGAACCGACUAAUGUUGAAAAAUUAGCGGAUGACCUGUGGCUGGGGGUGAAAGGCCAAUCAAACCGGGAGAUAGCUGGUUCUCCCCGAAAGCUAUUUAGGUAGCGCCUCGUGAAUUCAUCUCCGGGGGUAGAGCACUGUUUCGGCUAGGGGGCCAUCCCGGCUUACCAACCCGAUGCAAACUGCGAAUACCGGAGAAUGUUAUCACGGGAGACACACGGCGGGUGCUAACGUCCGUCGUGAAGAGGGAAACAACCCAGACCGCCAGCUAAGGUCCCAAAGUCAUGGUUAAGUGGGAAACGAUGUGGGAAGGCCCAGACAGCCAGGAUGUUGGCUUAGAAGCAGCCAUCAUUUAAAGAAAGCGUAAUAGCUCACUGGUCGAGUCGGCCUGCGCGGAAGAUGUAACGGGGCUAAACCAUGCACCGAAGCUGCGGCAGCGAACGUAUCACCCAAGACAACUUUACGGAGUUGACGAUUGACGGAGCGAAGCGACGUCAAAGCGUUCAUUAAAGUCGAGUUGGCUUAGGGAUACGUUCGUUGGGUAGGGGAGCGUUCUGUAAGCCUGUGAAGGUGUGUCGUGAGGCAUGCUGGAGGUAUCAGAAGUGCGAAUGCUGACAUAAGUAACGAUAAAGCGGGUGAAAAGCCCGCUCGCCGGAAGACCAAGGGUUCCUGUCCAACGUUAAUCGGGGCAGGGUGAGUCGACCCCUAAGGCGAGGCCGAAAGGCGUAGUCGAUGGGAAACGGGUUAAUAUUCCCGUACUUGGUGUUACUGCGAAGGGGGGACGGAGAAGGCUAUGUUGGCCGGGCGACGGUUGUCCCGGUUUAAGCGUGUAGGUGUGUGUUCCAGGUAAAUCCGGUUCACUUUAACACUGAGGCGUGACGACGAGGCACUACGGUGCUGAAGCAACAAAUGCCCUGCU